This 120-nucleotide ribosomal RNA is filed under the name Helianthus annuus (common sunflower). RNAcentral also lists the same sequence under 1 other name. The record is from RNAcentral. Lineage: Eukaryota; Viridiplantae; Streptophyta; Magnoliopsida; Asterales; Asteraceae.
GGUUGCGAUCAUACCAGCACUAAUGCACCGGAUCCCAUCAGAACUACGCAGUUAAGCGUGCUUGGGCGAGAGUAGUACUAGGAUGGGUGACCCCCUGGGAAGUCCUCGUGUUGCAACCCC